CAGGGAGCGAGUAUGGAUAUGUGUAUGUGGCGUUGAUGUGUGUAUUAAAUAUGUGUGUGUAGGAACAUGUGCGCACUGUGUACGAGAUAAAGGAGAUAAAUGCCAAAUAAAAGCACCCACGCCGGAGAAAACUCCAGAGAACGUUUGUAAGAGAUGCUCUCUGCGCUCUAAGGGACGUGUCAUUCAUGCCAUAACCUGAAUUAUCCUUUGUGGCGAUUUAAAAAUGUUUGCCUCUCGGGUGCAGCCAGAUGCAACGGAACUUUCUAUGCAUUCUUUUUCUUCCUCCAGGAUGAUAGCGGCACGUGAUGUCACGAUUGAGGUUACGGGACUUGCGCUUGUAUAGGUUAGGUCAUGCAGAGGGGGAGGCGCUGCAGAAAUAAGACACGAAUUAUGCGGACGAGAACUGUCCACACUGCGGAAAAGAUCCAAAGAAGGAAUGCAAGUCGACUUCGAAUUCAGCACUGACGUUGCUCCAGGUUUUCUGGCACGUGGGAAUUCACGUAAAACUACCGUAAAACUCAUGCCUGGACUGAAAGAAAAUUGCAACCGUUUGUUGCGAGCGAAGCUGUAACUUUCAUCGGUACAUUCUGCGCAGUGCACCUAGCUGGUAAUCAGG
This is a long non-coding RNA of Orussus abietinus, 616 nucleotides long. RefSeq lists it as uncharacterized. The record is from RefSeq and is a predicted model, not a curated record. NCBI's taxonomy places the organism in Eukaryota, Metazoa, Arthropoda, Insecta, Hymenoptera, Orussidae. The transcript is spliced from 3 exons.